Molecule: ribosomal RNA, 485 nt
Filed under: uncultured bacterium
Lineage: Bacteria
Description: partial 16S ribosomal RNA
Rfam family: Bacterial small subunit ribosomal RNA
Source: RNAcentral
GAUGAACGCUGGCGGCGUGCUUAACACAUGCAAGUCGAACGGGAUCCAAGGGGUGCUUGCACUUUUUGGGGAGAGUGGCGAAGGGGUGAGUAACACGUGAGUAACCUGUCUUUUUCUUUGGGAUAAGCAUUCGAAAGGGUGUUUAAUACCUUAUGUUCUGUCUGCCUCGCAUGGGGUGGGUGGGAGAGGCUUUGGCCGGAGUUGGGUGGGCUCGCGGUCUAUCAGGUUGGUGGUGGGGUGAUGGCUUACCAAGGCUUUGACGGGUAGGGGGCCUGAGAGGGUAGUCGGACAGAGGGGGACUGCGAGCCGGCCCGGAAUCCAGCGGGAGGCAGCAGUGGGGAAUAUUGGAAAAUGGGCGAAAGCCUGAUGCAGCGAGGCCACAUGGGGGUCGGAGGCUUACGCGUUGUAGUCGUGUAUGAAACGGAGCAGGGCGAUCCUCUGGGUGUGUGACGUGAAGGGGUGAAUAAGCACCGGCUAACUACGUG